UUGCAAGCUCGAGUGAACUUACGUGCGUGUAUGUCAUCCGGCCACCCACAUGCAGUACAUGGAGCCAGACAUGUUCAAAAAGGCUAAUAAAAGGUACACAGACGCCAAAGUCUUGGUAUGUCAGCAAAGGCAUACAAACAGAAAAACCUUCGCAAACAUCGGUUGAAAUUCAGGCGUCGACCACAUCCUCCGAUGCAUUGCACAGCUGUGUUCGU
Molecule: long non-coding RNA, 215 nt
Organism: Ixodes scapularis (black-legged tick)
Lineage: Eukaryota; Metazoa; Arthropoda; Arachnida; Ixodida; Ixodidae
Exons: 3
Source: RefSeq, a predicted model, not a curated record